GCCCAGGUGGCGGAAUCUUGGUAGACGCCUUGGACUUAAAAUCCAAUGGAGGGCGACCUCCGUACCGGUUCGAGUCCGGUCCUGGGCACAA
Molecule: transfer RNA, 91 nt
Filed under: Deltaproteobacteria bacterium CG_4_10_14_0_2_um_filter_43_8
Lineage: Bacteria; Deltaproteobacteria
Also listed under: 2 other names
Description: tRNA-Leu
Rfam family: tRNA
About the family: Transfer RNA (tRNA) molecules are approximately 80 nucleotides in length.
Source: RNAcentral